GUGUGUGCGGGCGUGUGUGUAGAGGGGGGGAGGAUGUGGAAAUGCAUCCGCUUGUUUAUUUAUGUAGAUGAACAGAAGGAAUGACAAUCAGGGAGGGAGAGGCAGACGGAGAGAGAGAAAGAAAGGUUUGGAAGAGAGUUGUAUUUGCAAACUGCUGGCUGACUUCCCACUGGAGCCAUGAGAGAUCAGACCGAGAGGCUGCGUGUCAGAAGAGAGAGAGAGUGCAUAUGUGUGUGUUCGCACAUCUGAGAGGAGAAACGCAGAGAGACAGACAGAGAGAGGGAGAAAGGGGAGGGAGGAAGGGAGAGGAACCCGUUCAACCCAUUUCAGCGGCAACUUUUCAGCCCGUCUUACAUGAGGUCUCUCCCUGAAUAUGGACACUUUUCGCUCCCGUCUCCUCAGCCAUCCCGUCGCCACGGUUCCCCGAUGCCGAACUUUGGCCACACUUUAGGCUGAAGCAACCUGAGUUUUCUCUGCAGUUUUGCAGGAGGUGAUGAUGGCAUUCACCAUGUAAAGCAACUCAAGCCUUUGCAUCAUCACCUCUCCUUGCGGUGUCAUUUGAGCCUUUGCAGCAACGAGGCUGGCAACACGUCCUGGCAUGGAACCGCUCCGCAUAUGCCAAGAGUGCAGUUCAAGAGUGCACAGGCAGACAAAAAGAGUGAUGCAGCUCACCAUCAGUGUGUGAAUAUGUGUAUGAAGCACUCUGGAGUUUUUGGACCUGAUAAAAGAGCAAUACCCUGCCGGCCAUUUACAAACAGGCAGGUAAAUCUUGUAGUUUCAAGUACUGAAAAACAAAGUGUCAAUAAAAAGUAAGAUAUGUGAUGCUUCUUUGAAAUCCAAGGGGGGGACAGCUCUACUAUGUGUGACUGGAGACGGCCUCUAGGGCGUCUCAUUUAAAGGAAUAUAACACAAAGGAUAACAGAAGUCUAGAAUUUAACUGAAAGUGUAAUUUUUUUAAAAUCAUGUUCACAACAGAAAGCAGCUCAAGUAUGUUGUGUA
Molecule: long non-coding RNA, 999 nt
Organism: Xiphophorus maculatus (southern platyfish)
Lineage: Eukaryota; Metazoa; Chordata; Actinopteri; Cyprinodontiformes; Poeciliidae
Exons: 3
Source: RefSeq, a predicted model, not a curated record